AGCCUUGCUGAAUUAUUCACCCGUGUCUUUUGCGUACUUCUUGUUUCCUUGGUGGGUUCGCCCACCAUAGGACAAACCAUAAACCUUUUGUAAUUGCAAUCAGCGUCAGUAAAAAAAUUAAUAAUUACAACUUUUAACAACGGAUCUCUUGGUUCUGGCAUCGAUGAAGAACGCAGCGAAAUGCGAUAAGUAGUGUGAAUUGCAGAAUUCAGUGAAUCAUCGAAUCUUUGAACGCACAUUGCGCCCUUUGGUAUUCCAAAGGGCAUGCCUGUUCGAGCGUCAUUUGUACCCUCAAGCUUUGCUUGGUGUUGGGCGUCUUGUCUCCAGUUCGCUGGAGACUCGCCUUAAAGUAAUUGGCAGCCGGCCUACUGGUUUCGGAGCGCAGCACAAGUCGCGCUCUCUUCCAGCCAAGGUCAGCAUCCACAAAGCCUUUUUUCAACUUUUGACCUCGGAUCAGGUAGGGAUACCCGCUGAACUUAAGCAUA
RNAcentral lists this ribosomal RNA (485 nucleotides) under Alternaria multiformis. RNAcentral's name for it is "eukaryotic LSU rRNA". The stretch from base 129 to 282 matches the Rfam family "5.8S ribosomal RNA". The record is from RNAcentral. Lineage: Eukaryota; Fungi; Ascomycota; Dothideomycetes; Pleosporales; Pleosporaceae.